CCCGUGACCCCUGCCGGGUGGAGCGGGGUGAACUUCCUUCCUGUGGAGACCUGCAAAGGUUCUUCGAAACAACAGUUCUUUCCUGGGAUGCCAGUGUUGCCAGGACCAGGAGGAGACACUGGCUGUCUGAUGUGCCACUCACCUGAUCUUCAAGCAAACAUCAGGCUCACUUAGAGGGAUCCAUUGCAGAUUUUUGCCUGGUGGUUGUUGGGAUGGUUGUCGUGGCAACAGGUCUGGUUCAUGGGCAGAGCCAAACAUCUGGGCCAAUAUCCAUCCUGAAACACCAUUCCACUGUAAUUCUGCACAGGACAACGGAGGAUCGGAAAACCUGAGAACACUCUUGAAAUGGCAACAGGAAACAAGGAAAAAUGAAGCGAGCUCCGUGCCAAACGCUCUUUAAAGAUCCAAGAGUCCCAUCAGCAGUAGUGCAGAAUGGUCCAUAAACCCAGCGGGCUCCACUCAAGUUUCCAUCUGCUAAAUUGUAGUCCGGUUAAAUAAGAGACGGAAUCUUUUUCCAGCAAGUACAUUUAUCGCUUGACAUUUCCUCUUGUGAAAUGCUCAUAGCAGAACAUCACAACAGCAUAUGCUGAGCAUGCAAGAGUU
This is a long non-coding RNA of Labeo rohita (rohu), 603 nucleotides long. RefSeq lists it as uncharacterized. NCBI's taxonomy places the organism in Eukaryota, Metazoa, Chordata, Actinopteri, Cypriniformes, Cyprinidae. The transcript has 3 exons. The record is from RefSeq and is a predicted model, not a curated record.